UCGCUAGUAAUCGCGGAUCAGCAUGCCGCGGUGAAUACGUUCCCGGGCCUUGUACACACCGCCCGUCACACCACGAGAGUUGGCAACACCCGAAGUCGGUGAGGUAACCUUUUUGGAGCCAGCCGCCGAAGGUGGGGCCAAUGAUUGGGGUGAAGUCGUAACUAGGUAGCCGUAUCGGAAGGUGCGGCUGGAUCACCUCCUUU
RNAcentral lists this ribosomal RNA (203 nucleotides) under Halobacillus litoralis. RNAcentral describes it as "partial 16S ribosomal RNA". It matches the Rfam family "Bacterial small subunit ribosomal RNA", at positions 1332 to 1533 of the family's 1533-position model. Lineage: Bacteria; Bacillati; Bacillota; Bacilli; Caryophanales; Bacillaceae. The record is from RNAcentral.